GCCGGCGAGUGGCGAACGGGUGAGUAAUGUAUCGGAACGUACCUUUCAGUGGGGGAUAACGUAGCGAAAGUUACGCUAAUACCGCAUAUUCUGUGAGCAGGAAAGCAGGGGAUCGCAAGACCUUGCGCUGAUUGAGCGGCCGAUAUCAGAUUAGCUAGUUGGUGGGGUAAAGGCCUACCAAGGCUACGAUCUGUAGCGGGUCUGAGAGGAUGAUCCGCCACACUGGGACUGAGAUAUGGCCCAGACUCCUACGGGAGGCAGCAGUGGGGAAUUUUGGACAAUGGGGGCAACCCUGAUCCAGCCAUGCCGCGUGAGUGAAGAAGGCCUUCGGGUUGUAAAGCUCUUUCGGCCGGGAAGAAAUCGCACAGGCUAAUACCUUGUGUGGAUGGCGGUACCGGAAUAAGAAGCACCGGCUAACUACGUGCCAGCAGCCGCGGUAAUACGUAGGGUGCGAGCGUUAAUCGGAAUUACUGGGCGUAAAGCGUGCGCAGGCGGUUUUUUAAGAUAGGCGUGAAAUCCCCGGGCUUAACCUGGGAACUGCGCUUAUGACUGGAAGACUAGAGUACGG
RNAcentral lists this ribosomal RNA (568 nucleotides) under uncultured Rhodocyclaceae bacterium. RNAcentral describes it as "bacterial SSU rRNA". It matches the Rfam family "Bacterial small subunit ribosomal RNA", at positions 87 to 651 of the family's 1533-position model. The record is from RNAcentral. Lineage: Bacteria; Pseudomonadati; Pseudomonadota; Betaproteobacteria; Rhodocyclales; Rhodocyclaceae.